This 735-nucleotide long non-coding RNA is filed under the name Hordeum vulgare. RNAcentral's name for it is "long non-coding RNA (HVUL_LNC011120)". Lineage: Eukaryota; Viridiplantae; Streptophyta; Magnoliopsida; Poales; Poaceae. The record is from RNAcentral.
AGUGGGGGAGAGUUAGGAAAUAUUUAGGCACGGCGUGGUGUGUUAACUCAACAUAGCAGUAGCGGUUGUUCCUAAGGAGCGCUACUGCUAUUGUACUUAGCAGUAGCGCUUUUAUCAUGCCGGCGCUGCUACUACAGCUAUUGACGGUUACCUCGUUGGGCCCCUUUUAGCAGUAGCGCUGGAUGCCACGCAACGCUACUCCUAUUGAUCUUAGCAGUAGCGCAGGAUUACGAACGGCGCUGCUACUAUAGCUACAUCGGGUGGCCUUGUUAGUCCCUGUUUAUCAGUAGCGCAGAAUAUAAGGCCAUCGCUACUGCUAAGGACAUUAGUAAUAGCGUUGCAUUGAGUCUAGCACUAUUGCUACGUAGCAGCAACGCUUUCUACUUUCCAGCGCUACUAAUAGGCUCCUACCUAUAAGGUUUUUCUAGUAGUGGUGGGGAGCUCACUGUGAGUUUAUAAGAUAAGAUGUAUGGCUGCUUUGCAUGAGAAUUUAUAGGAUGCGCGGGAGGAAGCGACUUAGAGCAUGGUUAAUAGUAUAGCCAACUCCUGGCUAUAAGAAGUCUUAUAGCCCAUCUUAUAGCUAGCUUGUACAAUAGUUAGCUAUAAAAGAGUACUAUUUUUAUCAUAUAUGGCUCACCUUUCAUUCUCAUAAAACGCCUAGGAGCACGUGCUAGAGCUGGCUCUUCAUGAAGAGCCCGCUUUCUUUCUCUCUCCUCUUCUCUCUCAUCCAACUCA